This is a non-coding RNA of Pelobates cultripes (western spadefoot toad), 257 nucleotides long. The record is from the annotation of a GenBank genome assembly. NCBI's taxonomy places the organism in Eukaryota, Metazoa, Chordata, Amphibia, Anura, Pelobatidae.
ACAGCACACUAACAGCACACUAAAAGCACCCUCACACACACAGCACACACACAGCAGCCUUCCACACACAGCACCCUUACACACACAGCACCCUCACAAACACACAGCACCCACACACACAGCACCUUCACAGCACACUACCAGCACUAUCACACACACACAGCACCCUCACACACACACGACACCCUCACAGCACAUUACCAGCACUCUCUCACACACAUACACAGCACCCUUACACACACACACACACACACACA